RNAcentral lists this ribosomal RNA (497 nucleotides) under uncultured bacterium. RNAcentral's name for it is "partial 16S ribosomal RNA". It matches the Rfam family "Bacterial small subunit ribosomal RNA", at positions 28 to 507 of the family's 1533-position model. The record is from RNAcentral.
GAUGAACGCUGGCGGCGUGCCUAAUACAUGCAAGUCGAGCGAACAGACGAGGAGCUUGCUCCUCUGACGUUAGCGGCGGACGGGUGAGUAACACGUGGAUAACCUACCUAUAAGACUGGGAUAACUUCGGGAAACCGGAGCUAAUACCGGAUAAUAUAUUGAACCGCAUGGUUCAAUAGUGAAAGACGGCUUUGCUGUCACUUAUAGAUGGAUCCGCGCCGCAUUAGCUAGUUGGUAAGGUAACGGCUUACCAAGGCAACGAUGCGUAGCCGACCUGAGAGGGUGAUCGGCCACACUGGAACUGAGACACGGUCCAGACUCCUACGGGAGGCAGCAGUAGGGAAUCUUCCGCAAUGGGCGAAAGCCUGACGGAGCAACGCCGCGUGAGUGAUGAAGGUCUUCGGAUCGUAAAACUCUGUUAUUAGGGAAGAACAAAUGUGUAAGUAACUAUGCACGUCUUGACGGUACCUAAUCAGAAAGCCACGGCUAACUGCGUG